GCUAGCGUAGCUUAAUUUAAAGCGUAGCACUGAAGAUGCUAAGAUGGGGCCCUAAAAAACUCCGCGUGC
This 69-nucleotide transfer RNA is filed under the name Osteochilus nashii (Nash's barb). Its description in RNAcentral is "tRNA-Phe". The record is from RNAcentral. Lineage: Eukaryota; Metazoa; Chordata; Actinopteri; Cypriniformes; Cyprinidae.